UACGGAGGGUGCAAGCGUUAUCCGGAAUCACUGGGUUUAAAGGGUGCGUAGGCGGGUGAUUAAGUCAGUGGUGAAAUCUUGUCGCUUAACGAUAAAAUUGCCAUUGAUACUGAUUAUCUUGAAUUGGGUUGAGGUUAGCGGAAUGUGACAUGUAGCGGUGAAAUGCAUAGAUAUGUCAUGGAACACCAAUUGCGAAGGCAGCUAGCUAGGCCUUGAUUGACGCUGAGGCACGAAAGCGUGGGUAGCGAACAGG
Molecule: ribosomal RNA, 253 nt
Filed under: uncultured bacterium
Lineage: Bacteria
Description: partial 16S ribosomal RNA
Rfam family: Bacterial small subunit ribosomal RNA
Source: RNAcentral